UGAACGCCGGUGAAGGAACUCUGCAAAUUGGCCCCGUAACUUCGGGAGAAGGGGUGCCCACUUCGGUGGGUCUCAGCAAAGCGGCUCUAGCGACUGUUUACUAAAAACACAGGUCUCUGCCAACUCGUAAGAGGAUGUAUAGAGACUGACGCUUGCUCGGUGCCGGUAGGUUAAGGAAGAGGGUCAAGUCCGCAAGGGCUGAAGCUCGCAACCGAAGCCCCGGUAAACGGCGGCCGUAACUAUACGGUCCUAAGGUAGCGAAAUUCCUUGUCGGGUAAGUUCCGACCUGCAUGAAUAGCGUAACGACUGGAGCACUGUCUCCACCGGCGACUCGGUGAAAUUGCAGUAGUGGUGAGGAUACCACUUUCCCGCAGCUAGACGGAAAGACCCCAUGAACCUUGACUGCAGGCUGAUAUUGUCUCUAGAUAGUUCUUGUGUAGGAUAGGUGGGAGGCGUUGAGGCGGAUGCGCUAGCAUUCGCAGAGCCAUCGUUGAAAUACCACCCUGGGCCUAUUUGGAGUCUAACCCCGACCCGUGAAUCCGGGCGGGGAACAGUGUCAGUUGGGCAGCUUGACUGGGGCGGUCUCCUCCCAAAGUGUAACGGAGGAGCUCAAAGGUACCCUCAGCCUGGUUGGCAAUCAGGCGUAGAGCGUAAAGGUAGAAGGGUGCUUGACUGCGAGACACAUACGUCGAGCAGAAACGAAAGUUGGACUUAGUGAUCCGGCGGUUCCGAAUGGAAGGGCCGUCGCUCAACAGAUAAAAGGUACUCUGGGGAUAACAGGCUGAUCACGCCCGAGCGUCCAUAGCGGCGGCGUGGUUUGGCACCUCGAUGUCGGCUCAUCGCAUCCUGGGGGUGGAGAAGCUCCCAAGGGUUCGGCUGUUCGCCGAUUAAAGCGGUACGUGAGCUGGGUUUAAACCGUCGUGAGACAGGUUGGUCCCUAUCUGCUGUGGGCGUACGAAACUUGAGGGAGUUUCUCUUUAGUACGAGAGGAUUUGGAGGGACGAACCUCUGGUGUUCCUGUUGUCACGCUCGUGGCAGCGCAGGGUAGCUAUGUUCGGUCGGGAUAAGCGCUGAAAGCAUAUAAGCGCGAAGCCUUUCCCAAGAUCAGGUUUCGUUAGACGCAAGUCUUGAAGUCCCCUGGUAGACCACCAGGUCGAUAGGCCGGCGAUGUAAGGCGGGCAACCGUCUCAGUCGACCGGUACUAACGGACAAAAGCUUGACCAC
Molecule: ribosomal RNA, 1224 nt
Filed under: metagenome
Description: bacterial LSU rRNA
Rfam family: Bacterial large subunit ribosomal RNA
Source: RNAcentral